GACGAACGCUGGCGGCGUGCUUAACACAUGCAAGUCGAACGGAAAGGCCCUGCUUUUGUGGGGUGCUCGAGUGGCGAACGGGUGAGUAACACGUGAGUAACCUGCCCUUGUCUUUGGGAUAACUUCUGGAAACUGGGGCUAAUACCCGAUAUGAGCUCCUGCUGCAUGGUGGGGGUUGGAAAGUUUCGGCGGUUGGGGAUGGACUCGCGGGUUAUCAGCUUGUUGGGGUGGUAGUGGCUUACCAAGGGUUUGACGGGUAGCCGACCUGAGAGGGUUAACGGAAACAUGGGGACUGAGAGAGGGCCCAGACGCCAACGGGAGGCAGAAGGGGAGAGUAUGACAGAGUGGGGGGAAGCCAGAGACAGAAACGCCGGGUGCGGAAAAACGGGUUACGGGUGAUAAACCGAUGUCGACGGUAACAAGGCGGGAGUGACGGUAAUGAAUAAAGAAGCAACGGCUAACUACGUG
This 468-nucleotide ribosomal RNA is filed under the name uncultured bacterium. RNAcentral describes it as "partial 16S ribosomal RNA". It matches the Rfam family "Bacterial small subunit ribosomal RNA", at positions 28 to 507 of the family's 1533-position model. The record is from RNAcentral.